AGGAUUAUGAUUGCGAGAUCCUUUAUCACCCGGGGAAGGCCAAUGUGGUGGCCGAUGCGCUUAGCCGUAAGGCGGCACCGAUCAGGGAUGUGUGUAUGAGGAUGACGGUGGUGACUCCACUGUUAGAGCAGAUUCGGGAAGCUCAGCAGGAGGCUAUGAAGGAGGAACAUCGGAAGAGCGAGCGAAUAGUGGGUCAAGUCACCUCCUUCGAUUAUGAUAGCCGAGGGUUAUUGACACUACACCGUAGGGUGUGGGUGCCGUAUCACGGAGGCGUGCGCCAGAUCUUGAUGGAGGAGGCGCACAAAUCCCGAUUCUCUAUUCAUCCAGGGGCGACGAAGAUGUAUAGGGAUCUUCGUCUAGACUAUUGGUGGCCCUGCAUGAAGCGGGAUGUGGCGUGGUACGUCGAGCGGUGUUUGACCUGCAGGAAGGUGAAGGCCGAGUAUCAGAGACCGCACGACAUGAUGCAACCGUUGGACAUCCCGUUGUGGAAAUGGGAAGAUAUUACGAUGGAUUUUAUCACAAAGCUUCCCAAGAUUGCGUGAGGGGUAGAUUCGAUUUGGGUCAUCGUGGAUCGAUUGACCAAGAGCGCCCAUUUCAUUCCAAUCCAGGAGAGUAUCUCGGCCGAAAAGUUGGCCGAUAUCUAUAUCAGGGAGAUAGUGGCGCGGCACGGGGUGCCAGUGUCAGUGAUAUCAGACCGAGAUGUGCGGUUCACUUCCAGGUUUUGGAAGAAGUUUCAUGAUGAGUUGGGCACUCAUCUACAUUUUAGCAGCGCCUUUCACCCGCAGACGGAUGGUCAGAGCUACCGGACCAUCCAGACAUUGGAGGAUAUGUUGCGGGUAUGCGUGCUUGCUUUCGGUGGUAGCUGGGAUACCUGUCUUCCCUUGGGUGAGUUCUCGUACAACAACAGCUACCACGCGAGUAUUGACCGUCCCCCAUUCGAGAUGUUGUAUGGACAGAGGUGUAGGACCCCGAUAUGUUGGGGUGAAGUUGGCCAGAGGGUCAUGGGGAGCACCAAGGUGGUGCUCAAGACAACCGAGAAAAUCCAGCAGGUUCGAAGCAGGCUUCAGACUGCGCAGAGUCGGCAGAAAAGUUACGCCGACAAGCGUCGAUCAGACCUGGCGUUCCAGGUUGGGGAUAUGGUUCUCCUGAAAGUGUCGCCUUGGAAAGGCGUCAUUCGAUUCAGGAAGCGGGGCAAUUUGGGCCCAAGAUUCAUUGGUCCGUUCAGGGUUGUAGCCCGGGUGGGCAAGGUGGCAUAUAGGGUGGAUCUGCCAACCGAGCUCAGUCAGAUCCACAGCACCUUCCAUAUCUCCCAGUUGCGGAUGUGCUUAGUGGAUGAUUCGGCAGUGGUGCCGCUACAGGAUAUACAGGUUGAUGACAACCUGAAUUACAUUGAGCACCCAGUCGCAAUCCUCUACCGGAAGUCGAAGGAUUUGAGGAACAAGAGGGUAAAAUUAGUAAAGGUGCAAUCGCAGCACCGAAAGGGUUCAGAAUGGACUUAGGAGCCGGUGGAAGAAAUGAUGGAGCAUUACCCCGAGCUGUUUCAGGAUCGAGCAGCAGACUUCGAGGACGAAGUCUAAAAUAAGUGGGGGAGAUUUGUAGCACUUGGUUCUUGGUACGUAAAAUUUAUCUAAGUAUUUUAUAUUUUUAGCCUUGGACUCGGCGACUGGUAGGCCCGACUCGCCGAGUGGAGACGGGUUUGGGAACACGUUUAAGUUGGUGACUCGGCGAGUCCCAGCUGUCUAAUGAAACCCUAAAUUCCAAGGGUUUUCACCCUAUUUAAACCCUCUUAUCCGCCCCAAGCUCGCCCCCUUCACCCUCAGAGCUCUCUACUGCGUUCAAGCCUUGUUCCUUAUGAUAUUGAAGCAUUUUGGUGUGUUUUCUUGAAGAUUUGGAGAGGGAAGGAGAAUAGAUAAAGAAGAGAAGAAGGAGGCAAGGCAUCCUUGUGUUAUCUCAGUGAUUUCCUUGAGGUAUAACUCAGUUUCCCUCUUUUUUCAUGCUUAUUGUCCCUUUUAACUCCAUGACAGUCCCUCUUGAGCCUUUCCCCAAGCUUCUUUGUGUACUAGGGUUUGUAAUAAGUUGUUUAGCCUCUAGAUCUAGGCAUGAUUGAGCUCCAGGAGCUUGGAUCUACUGCCUUUUAUGGAGCCAUAUUGCAUGAAAGCCCUAUAUCUACUCUUUUAGUGUAUGUUGAGACCUAAAACCUUCAUUGGUGUUUAUUUACACGUAAAGUUGGAAACUUUACGUGUUAACCAGGCCCUAGAAACCCAGAUCUAUGUAUGUUAUGAGUUGGAUUCAAGCAGAAUCGCGUGUAUAGUAUUUGCGUGUGGCAGACUCGGCGAGUNGCCCCGGCGAGUCGAGUCGCGAGUCCCCGAGUUUUCCCCUUUUUGUGUUUGCGGAGUGGAGUAGUGAGUCAUGGGGUGUGACUCAGUGAGUCGGAAGCCAGACUCGCCCAUGAAGAAACUCAGCGAGUCAAUGCCCUGACUCGGCGUGUCCAAGGCAAUCUUCUUGCCUCUAGAACAGACUCGGCGAGUUGUUCAUACAACUCGACGAGUAGGAUGAAGGAUGUUUGGACACCAGUUUAGAAGGAAAACUCGUCGAGUCAAUGCCAAACUUGACGAGUAGAGUCGGGAAAAUGGUCAUACAAAGGGAUAGGGACUCGGCGAGUUGGCAGGCCAACUCGGCGAGUCGGGUCAACUGGAAGUUGAAUUUGACUUUGACACUUCGCUUAGUUAGGGGUAAAUGGUCAUUUUACCCUGAGGUCGAUUAGCAGCAUUUGACUGAGUGUUUUGUGGGGAUUAUAGUUGGAGGAUUUCCGGGGCAGCAGCAGCAGGAGACAGUCAGUUCCCACGCAGAUCAGCAUCUACUUUGAGGUGAGUUACCUUCCAGUAGCGGUGGGUCUACGGCCACAAUGCCGGCCCACCAGUAGGGUUGUAUGAUAGAUGUUUGUCUCUGUGAUAUUCAUCCAGGUUGCUACUACAUGUGAUAUGUUAUUGUGCUAGUAUGAUAUGAUGCUAUGUGCUAGUGACAGUAGGGGGAGAUAGUCCCCUAGAACACCGGUCGAUAGGGCGGAAGGGGCGGUUAUGCCCAGCCAUGCUAGCUAGUUUGAGAUAUAUGUGUUAUUUGCUAAUGGUAGGGGUGAAAUAGUCUCCAGUAUCCGGUCGAGAGGACCGAAGGGGAGGCAAGCUCCCAAAUAUACUGUUCAGUAUCUGGUCGAGAGGACCGAAGGGGGGACCAGCACCCAUAUAUGCUAGUCAGUGUCCGGUCGAGAGGACCGAAGGGGAGGCAAGCUCCCCGAUAUACUGGUCAGUAUCCGGUCGAGAGGACCGAAGGGGUAGGUCGGGCACCCAGAUAUGCCUGACAAUAUUUGUAUGUUAUGUGAUUGUAUGGUAUGUGGUAUGUUGGGGGAACUCACUAAGCUUCGUGCUUACAGUUUUCAGUUUUGGUUUCAGGUACCUCUUCUUCGAAGGGGAAGGAGCUGGCGCGGUAGCGGCCCAUCACACACACGCCUUGUAUUCCGCACUAUGAGACCCUCCUGGGAAUUUGUACUCUAACUUUGUUAUGUUUUUAUGAAAUAUUUUUCAAGACAUGCAAUAACUAUUAUGAAAUGAUAUGAUCAGUGAACAUUUUAUUUUUAAGGUUCUCUAAGAAUAUGUUUUAAAAAUGAAAUUUUGGCUCGUAUUUUUGGGAUGUUACAAGUUGGUAUCAGAGCCCUGGUUUGAGAGAUUCAGACACACCUUCGGGGGUGUUUGAAAUCAAAUCGAGGGAUUUAAAAGAUUUUGAAAAAGAAAAUGUUUUCUAAAAGGAUACGUAAAGGGUUUUAAGAAAGAACAAAGUGUGUGAUGUGCGCGACCGGCCGAGCUCAAGUAAGUAUUCCCCAAAGUACCCAUACAAACUUAUGUUAUGUUUAUCAGUUUCAGUAGAACAGCAUGCUAGAAUAGGACUAAGGAUCUAGGAGUGAUGCCUUAUGUGCCUGCUUUAUGUGCUUCAGUGUAUGAAAAACUGCAUGCUAGAAUUGAGUACACAGCAGUAGGAUAGCCUGUUUAGGUUAUGCCUAUAUUAUGAGUUUAGCAUUGUAUGCUAGUUCAGCUUUUCUCUAUGAGGAUGGGUUUGCUUGAGAUUGUUCCCUUUUGUCUGAAUGUUGCUUGCUUUGUGAUUCGUGCGGCUCUGAGUGAUGGGAGUGAGACAUUAGGUGAAUACGUCACGUUACAUGUGAUCAGGGUUGAAUAAUCUUUGAGCGCUGGAUUUGGCCCUAUCGCGCAGCUCUUGUCUGAUUCUAACCGUUGUAGAGCCGAGUCUGUUACUCGAAGGAUUAUCUGAGCCUCCUCACAUGUGAUGGUAUUCAGGUAAUGACUAAUUGGCAUUACAAGGAGACCUUCAGCAGCUGAAGACCGGGUAGGGUGGAGUUAGAGAUUUUCCUGGGGCAAGCCUAGGAUGAGUAUAGCAGUGAUCAGCAAUAGUGAAAGGGACCUGGUGGAGUCAAGGCAGUCCUUGGAGAAGGUACGGAUAGAUGUGGAAGGUAGUAUGGGCCCGUACUACUGAAAGCAGAGGAUCCGUACCCGAACCGAGGAAGGCCAAGAUAAGACCAGGGAACUUGUAGUAGGUGUGAUCCCUCCAGAGGUAUCAGUAUCGCUAACGAUUAUUAUUUAUGUAUUUCAGAAUGGUGGUACUAUGCUCGAGGCCAGCAGUUGGCAGUACAGGAGAGGGAUCGGGUUCGGGAUCAGGUUCUGAGCCAGUAGAUGAGGGGCUACGUGAGUUCAUCGCGUCAGAGAUCACCAGAGGCAUCCUUGAGUCAACCCCCAUUAUCUUCGGGUCGAUCAAGGAAGGGAUAUUGGAGUUGAUGGAGGAUCGCCUCCGGGCAUUCAGGAGCGACAUGGCAUCUGGCCAGUCGGGAUCUCGCACACUGUCCUUCAAGGACUUCCGGGGCAGUGGUGCGCCGGAUUUUCACGGGGCGAAGGACCCCAUAGCUGCCAGACGAUGGAUUGCAGACAUUGAGUCUGCACAGUUGGCUAGCUUCUGCCCUGAGGGGUCGAAGGUGAGAUAUGCAGCAGGAUGUUUGAGAUAUCGAGCUAAGGAUUGGUGGGAGUCCGUUGGUGACUCGUUGGGAGCCUCGGCUGUCGAGGCUAUGACCUGGUCGGACUUCGUGACCAGGUUCUGGGCAGAGUUUGCACCUGCUGUCGAGCUUCAGCAGCUGGCCAGGGAGUUCCUAGAUAUGAGACAGACGACGGAGACUGUUGUGGAGAUCAACGCCAAGUUCCGGGAGAGGGCGUUGCUGGUGCCCCAGUAUGCGGGUGACGAGGAUAUGAGGAGGACCCACUAUCAUGGCAUGCUACGAGCUGAUAUUCGGGAGCAUGUCAGUUGUUCAGCUUGCCCUACCCUAGACUCUAUGAUUGUCAGGGCAAGGGAGAGGGAGAUAGAUCUGGAGCACAUUCGGAAGAGGAAGGCAGAGGAGGGGCAUGUUAUGGGGGCUUCGGGGAAGAAGACCAAGGGAUCAAAUGCGGGGCCGAAAGGCCAACAGGGGCGGGGUCGCUGCAGGAAAUGCGGCAAGGCGCACGAGGGAGCGUGCAAGUUGGGAUCGCCAGGCUGCUACAAGUGCGGCAAGUUAGGGCACUUCAGCAGGGAUUGUACCGCCCCUGCACCUUUGGUUCAGACAUUGGAGUUGCUGUGUUUCCACUGCAACCAGAGGGGCCACAAGAAGGCCAAUUGCCCCCAGUUGACAGCAUCAGUGCCGGUUAAGGCGCCAUCUCCAGCUACCCUGCGGAUUACAGAUGGCCGGCAGGGCAAGGCAGAGGCUCCGGCGUUGAGGAGCCAGGCGUUUCAGCUGACUAUAGAGGAGGCUCGCGCCGCACCUGAUGUGGUGACGGGUAUGAUUCUUUCCCUCUAUCUUAUUUGUAUGAUGUUAUGAUAUUGAUAUGUGCUCUGUGUAUAUGCGUUAGGAUCGUUCCUUGUGAACGGUAUUCCUGUUCAGGUGUUGUUUGACUCGGGUGCCACCCAAUCAUUUGUUUCCCAUACGCUUAGCAAGAGACUUACGGAGUCUUCGGGCAUGUUGGAUUGCCCUUUAGAGGUAGAGAUUGCCGAUGAUCGAUCGGUGCGACCGUUGGCAGUAUUCAGGGAUUGUGUCCUAAGGUUAUUUGAGGAGCGCUAUUUGGUGGAUUUGGUUCCCAUCCCUUUGCGGGGGAACAAGGUGAUUAUAGGCAUGGAUUGGUUGAGCCCAAAUGGGGGUGGUGAUAAAUUGCGCACAACAGUUAGUGCGGGUCAGGACCCCAAGUGGGGGAGAGUUGGUGAUCCACAGCGAGAGGCCACAGCAUGGACCCACAGUAUGUUCAGUAGCGAGAGCUAGGCGCUACCUUCAGCAGGGUUGCGCGGGAUAUGUCGCGUACGUUAUGGAUACCCGGGAUGUGGGUAAGACGACGGUGAGCAAGGUUUCAGUGGUGCGAGACUACACUGAUGUGUUCCCGGAGGAGCUUCCUGGAAUACCUCCGGAGCGUCAGGUAGAGUUCAGGAUCGACCUAGUUCCUGGUGCGGCUCUGAUAGCCAAGGCACCGUAUCGGUUGGCUCCUCCCGAGAUGCAGGAGUUGUCUACGCAGCUGCAGGAGCUGCUAGAUAAGGGAUUUAUUCGAGCAAGCAGUUCACCCUGGGGAGCCCCGAUCCUGUUUGUGAAGAAGAAGGAUGGGUCGCAUCGGAUGUGUAUAGAUUACCAGGAGCUGAAUAAGGUGACGGUGAAGAACCUUUACCCACUCCCGAGGAUUGAUGACCUCUUUGAUCAGUUACAGGGAGCAUCUUGGUUCUCCAAGAUCGAUUUGCAUUCGGGUUAUCAUCAGAUGAGGGUCAGAGAGGAGGAUGUACAGAAGACCGCAUUUCGGACGCGUUAUGGCCAUUAUGAGUUCGUGGUGAUGCCGUUUGGGCUCACCAAUGCUCCUGCCGCGUUCAUGGACCUCAUGAACCGCGUGUGUAGACCGAUGCUGGAUCGGUCUGUGAUAGUUUUCAUUGAUGACAUCUUGGUUUAUUCCAAGACGCAGGAGGAGCACGAGGAGCAUCUGAGAGAGGUUUUGGAGACCUUGAGGAGGGAGAGCUUGUACGCCAAGUUCUCCAAAUGUGAGUUUUGGUUGCGCGAGGUGCAGUUUCUUGGGCACCUCGUCAACCAGAACGGGAUUUCAGUAGACCCGGCCAAGGUGGAGGCCGUGAUGAGAUGGGAGGUUCCGAAGUCUCCAUCCGAGAUUCGGAGUUUCCUAGGAUUAGCAGGCUACUAUCGGAGAUUCAUUCAGGAUUUCUCCAAGAUAGUCGUACCCCUGACACGGUUGACUAGGAAAGUCGUGGUCUUUCGAUGGGGGCCUGAGCAGCAGGCAGCGUUCGAGAUUCUGAGGCAGAGAUUGUGCGAGGCGCCAAUCUUAGCCCUGCCCGAGGGCGUAGAGGAUUUUGUGGUAUACUGUGAUGCGUCGAUCUCAGGCUUAGGCGCAGUAUUGAUGCAGAGGGGGCAUGUCAUUGCUUAUGCCUCGAGGCAGCUGAAGCCUCACGAGGCGAACUACCCGACGCAUGAUUUAGAGUUGGGGGCGGUGGUUUUCGCCCUCAAGAUUUGGCGGCAUUACCUCUACGGGGUUCGAUGUACCAUUUACACGGACCACAAGAGUUUGAGGUACCUCAUGGAUCAGCCGAAUCUGAACAUGAGGCAGCGUCGGUGGUUGGACGUGGUGAAGGAUUAUGAUUGCGAGAUCCUUUAUCACCCGGGGAAGGCCAAUGUGGUGGCCGAUGCGCUUAGCCGUAAGGCGGCACCGAUCAGGGAUGUGUGUAUGAGGAUGACGGUGGUGACUCCACUGUUAGAGCAGAUUCGGGAAGCUCAGCAGGAGGCUAUGAAGGAGGAACAUCAGAAGAGUGAGCGAAUAGUGGGUCAAGUCACCUCCUUCGAUUAUGAUAGCCGAGGAUUAUUGACACUACACCGUAGGGUGUGGGUGCCGUAUCACGGAGGCGUGCGC
This 7964-nucleotide long non-coding RNA is filed under the name Lactuca sativa (garden lettuce). RNAcentral describes it as "long non-coding RNA (LSAT_LNC004851)". Lineage: Eukaryota; Viridiplantae; Streptophyta; Magnoliopsida; Asterales; Asteraceae. The record is from RNAcentral.